UUCGCCUUUCUUAUACUUCGACUUCUUUCUUAUUCCACCGCCAAAAAAGGACAAAAAUAAGAAAUCCUUCACAUUUCCAUUCCCAUUUUACUCACUAUUCAAAGAGUGUUAAAAUUUAGAAUGUUAAUCGUUCCAAUUUAUCCAGACGGGAUUAUUUUUCUUCUGGUUUCAUUUAAAAUAGAUAUUCGAUAUUAUCAUGGAAAAAUGCAAUCAUAAAAAAGAAUGCAUAAAUUCAACUUACAAUUGUAUUGCAGUUAAAUCCAAAACAAAGUGAAGCACGCAAUGAAUUACUUUGUAAUGAGUUUGUACAUCUCAAAUAAGUAAAAUGGCGAAUAAUUAUAGUAAUUUAAAGAAGAAAAAAAUUACCCGGCGUUCUGUAAUAACCGAAAAUUGAUUAAUGGAAGAGACACUGCUUAAGAAGAUAGAAGUUAGGGACUUGUUAGGGUUUAAGAGGACGGUGCAUUGGGAGCUGGGUAAGAAGGUUCUAGAAUUCCUUCAUUUUUCACAUUUCUAAAAAUAGAAGAGGGAAUAUUCGAUAUGCUUGCAGCCUAUCGUAGUGGAGGGUUCAUUUCCACAGCGUUCUCACCU
This 588-nucleotide long non-coding RNA is filed under the name Olea europaea (common olive). RNAcentral describes it as "long non-coding RNA (OEUR_LNC012933)". The record is from RNAcentral. Lineage: Eukaryota; Viridiplantae; Streptophyta; Magnoliopsida; Lamiales; Oleaceae.